RNAcentral lists this long non-coding RNA (362 nucleotides) under Olea europaea subsp. europaea. The record is from RNAcentral. Lineage: Eukaryota; Viridiplantae; Streptophyta; Magnoliopsida; Lamiales; Oleaceae.
UUCUCCAAUUAUUUGAUUGCUUCGACCAUCAAGAUUCAAUUAGGCUAAUUAUCCUUUAUCGAAAGUUAAAUUUCCUCGAACAAGUGUUAGGACUUACAAGGCAUUUAGUGCUUUUUUUUUAGCCUUUUUUUUUUUUUUUUGCAUUCUCCCAUAAGCUUUCUAGAUGACCCAUGUAGCAGGCUUUAGGCCGAUGACUCCCAAAUCAGAUGACUUUAGGGCACCAGGUUUUCAAAUACCCUUAUAGGCUUAAUAACCUGAGUCAAAAAUGCUUCGAAGAGAACAAUUUUUUUAGGGCAAUUUUCUCUCUAAUUGCUUUUUAAAUGACCCCUGUAACGAGUUUUAGGCCGAUGACUCCCAAGUCA